This 253-nucleotide ribosomal RNA is filed under the name uncultured bacterium. RNAcentral's name for it is "partial 16S ribosomal RNA". It matches the Rfam family "Bacterial small subunit ribosomal RNA", at positions 524 to 776 of the family's 1533-position model. The record is from RNAcentral.
UACGUAGGGACCGAGCGUUGUCCGGAUUUAUUGGGCGUAAAGAGCUCGUAGGCGGCUGUUCAAGUCGAGUGUGAAAACUCGGGGCUCAACUCCGAGCCUGCACUCGAUACUGGACGGCUAGAGUCUGGUAGGGGGAUCUGGAACUCCUGGUGUAGCGGUGGAAUGCGCAGAUAUCAGGAAGAACACCGGUGGCGAAGGCGGCAUCCUGGACCAACACUGACACUGAGGAGCGAAAGCCAGGGGAGCGAACGGG